Molecule: ribosomal RNA, 120 nt
Filed under: uncultured bacterium
Lineage: Bacteria
Description: partial 16S ribosomal RNA
Rfam family: Bacterial small subunit ribosomal RNA
Source: RNAcentral
AACGAACGCUGGCGGCAUGCCUAACACAUGCAAGUCGAACGAGACCUUCGGGUCUAGUGGCGCACGGGUGCGUAACGCGUGGGAACCUGCCUUUAGGUUCGGAAUAACUCAGAGAAAUUU